GAUGAAGAACGUAGCGAAAUGCGAUAAGUAAUGUGAAUUGCAGAAUUCAGUGAAUCAUCGAAUCUUUGAACGCACCUUGCGCCCUUUGGCCAUUCCGAAGGGCAUGCCUGUUUGAGUAUCAUGAACACCUCAACUCUUCAUGGUUUUCCAUGAUGAGCUUGGACUUUGGGGGUCUUGCUGGCCUACGGUUGGCUCCUCUAAAAUAAAUCAGCUUGCCAGUGUUUGGUGGGUAUCGCAGGUGUGAUAACUAUCUACGCUUGUGGUUUUCCACCAAGUAACCUUCAGCAGUGGAGGUUCACUGGAGCUCACAGAUGUGUCUCUCCUCAGUGAGGGACAGCUCUUUGAAUGUUUGAUCUCAAAUCAGGUAGGACUACCCGCUGAACUUAAGCAUAUCAAUAAGCGGAGGA
RNAcentral lists this unclassified non-coding RNA (407 nucleotides) under soil metagenome. RNAcentral's name for it is "partial contains 5.8S ribosomal RNA, internal transcribed spacer 2, and large subunit ribosomal RNA". The stretch from base 1 to 121 matches the Rfam family "5.8S ribosomal RNA", at positions 35 to 154 of the family's 154-position model. The record is from RNAcentral.